GAUUGAACGCUGGCGGCAGGCUUAACACAUGCAAGUCGAGCGGAGAUGAGGUGCUUGCACCUUAUCUUAGCGGCGGACGGGUGAGUAAUGCUUAGGAAUCUGCCUAUUAGUGGGGGACAACAUUCCGAAAGGAAUGCUAAUACCGCAUACGCCCUACGGGGGAAAGCAGGGGAUCUUCGGACGUUGCGCUAAUAGAUGAGCCUAAGUCGGAUUAGCUAGUUGGUGGGGUAAAGGCCUACCAAGGCGACGAUCUGUAGCGGGUCUGAGAGGAUGAUCCGCCACACUGGGACUGAGACACGGCCCAGACUCCUACGGGAGGCAGCAGUGGGGAAUAUUGGACAAUGGGCGGAAGCCUGAUCCAGCCAUGCCGCGUGUGUGAAGAAGGCCUUUUGGUUGUAAAGCACUUUAAGCGAGGAGGAGGCUACCUGGAUUAAUACUCUAGGAUAGUGGACGUUACUCGCAGAAUAAGCACCGGCUAACUCUGUGCCAGCAGCCGCGGUAAUACAGAGGGUGCGAGCGUUAAUCGGAUUUACUGGGCGUAAAGCGUGCGUAGGCGGCUGAUUAAGUCGGAUGUGAAAUCCCUGAGCUUAACUUAGGAAUUGCAUUCGAUACUGGUCAGCUAGAGUAUGGGAGAGGAUGGUAGAAUUCCAGGUGUAGCGGUGAAAUGCGUAGAGAUCUGGAGGAAUACCGAUGGCGAAGGCAGCCAUCUGGCCUAAUACUGACGCUGAGGUACGAAAGCAUGGGGAGCAAACAGGAUUAGAUACCCUGGUAGUCCAUGCCGUAAACGAUGUCUACUAGCCGUUGGGGCCUUUGAGGCUUUAGUGGCGCAGCUAACG
This 836-nucleotide ribosomal RNA is filed under the name uncultured Pseudomonadota bacterium. Its description in RNAcentral is "bacterial SSU rRNA". It matches the Rfam family "Bacterial small subunit ribosomal RNA", at positions 27 to 857 of the family's 1533-position model. Lineage: Bacteria; Pseudomonadati; Pseudomonadota. The record is from RNAcentral.